CGAGUUUGAUCCUGGCUCAGAUCGAACGCUGGCGGCGUGGCUAAAGCAUGCAAGUCGCACGCGAAAGUUCCCUUCGGGGAGCGAGUAGAAUGGCGAAAGGGCGAGGAAUCCAUGGGUAACGUACCUCGAGCAUGGGGAUAGCUGCGGGAAACUGCAGGUAAUACCUAAUGACACCACGGUUUCAUAUGGCACAGUGGUCAAAGGGCGGGGAUCCCUUCGGGGACCUGCUGGCUUGAGAGCGGCCCAUGUCCUAUCAGCUUGUUGGUAGGGUAACGGCCUACCAAGGCAACGACGGGUACCGGGACUGAGAGGUUGGCCCGGCGCAUUGGGACUGAGACACUGCCCAGACUCCUACGGGAGGCUGCAGCAACGAAUAUUCCGCAAUGGACGAAAGUCUGACGGAGCGACGCCGCGUGCGGGAAUAAGCCCCUCGGGGUGUAAACCGCUGUCAGGGAUCACCAAGCGAUGAGGGUCAAUACCCCUCGGAGUUGAGGAGUCCCAGAGGAAGCCACGGCUAACUUCGUGCCAGCAGCCGCGGUAAGACGAAGGUGGCAAGCGUUGUUCGGAAUCACUGGGCUUAAAGAGCACGUAGGCGGCUUAUCAAGCGUCUUGUGAAAUCCCUCGGCUCAACCGAGGAACUGCAUGGCGAACUGAUAGGCUUGAGGCAGGUAGGGACGCACGGAACUCUUGGUGGAGCGGUGGAAUGCGUAGAUAUCAAGAGGAACGCCGGUGGCGAAGGCGGUGCGCUGGGCCCGUCCUGACGCUGAGGUGCGAAAGCCAGGGGAGCGAACGGGAUUAGAUACCCCGGUAGUCCUGGCCCUAAACGAUGUCCACUAGGUCGAAGGUUCUCUGACGGAGUUUCGGCCGAAACGAAAGCGUUAAGUGGACCGCCUGGGGAGUACGGUCGCAAGGCUAAAACUCAAAGGAAUAGACGGGGGCUCACACAAGCGGUGGAGCAUGUUGCUUAAUUCGAUACAACGCGAAGAACCUUAUCCUGGGCUUGACAUGUACGAAUGCCUACCUGGAAACAGGGUCGGCUGCCCUUCGGGGUGAAACGUACACAGGUGCUGCAUGGCUGUCGUCAGCUCGUGUCGUGAGAUGUUGGGUUAAGUCCCGUAACGAGCGAAACCCUUGUCGCUAGUUGCCAGCGGGUUAUGCCGGGGACUCUAGCGAGACUGCCGGUGUUAAACCGGAGGAAGGUGGGGAUGACGUCAAGUCCUCAUGGCCUUUAUGCCCAGGGCUGCAAACGUGCUACAAUGACCGGUACAAACCGAUGCAAGACCGCGAGGUGGAGCAAAUCGGAAAAAGCCGGCCCCAGUUCGGAUUGGAGUCUGCAACUCGACUCCAUGAAGUCGGAAUCGCUAGUAAUCGCGUAUCAGCAUGACGCGGUGAAUGUGUUCCUGAGCCUUGUACACACCGCCCGUCAAGUCAUGGAAGCUGGGAGCACCCGAAGUCGUGCCAUUUCAGGCAUGCCGAAGGUGAGCUUGGUGACUGGGACUAAGUCGGAACAAGGUA
This 1515-nucleotide ribosomal RNA is filed under the name metagenome. RNAcentral's name for it is "bacterial SSU rRNA". It matches the Rfam family "Bacterial small subunit ribosomal RNA". The record is from RNAcentral.